This 253-nucleotide ribosomal RNA is filed under the name uncultured bacterium. RNAcentral describes it as "partial 16S ribosomal RNA". It matches the Rfam family "Bacterial small subunit ribosomal RNA", at positions 524 to 776 of the family's 1533-position model. The record is from RNAcentral.
CACGUAGGGCGCAAGCGUUGUCCGGAAUUAUUGGGCGUAAAGAGCUCGUAGGUGGUCUGUUGCGUCCGCUGUGAAAACUCGGGGCUUAACCCCGAGCCUGCAGUGGAUACGGGCAGACUAGAGGUAGGUAGGGGAGAACGGAAUUCCUGGUGUAGCGGUGAAAUGCGCAGAUAUCAGGAGGAACACCGGUGGCGAAGGCGGUUCUCUGGGCCUGUACUGACGCUGAGGAGCGAAAGCGUGGGGAGCGAACAGG